RNAcentral lists this ribosomal RNA (279 nucleotides) under uncultured bacterium. RNAcentral's name for it is "partial 16S ribosomal RNA". It matches the Rfam family "Bacterial small subunit ribosomal RNA", at positions 506 to 784 of the family's 1533-position model. The record is from RNAcentral.
UGCCAGCAGCCGCGGUAACACGAACUGCGCAAACGUUAUUCGGAAUCACUGGGCUUAAAGAGUUCGUAGGCGGCCUAGUAGGUCAGGCGUGAAAGCCCUCGGCUCAACCGAGGAAUUGCGUUUGAUACUACUUUGCUAGAGUCUCGGAGAGGUUGGCGGAAUUCCAGGUGUAGGAGUGAAAUCCGUAGAUAUCUGGAGGAACACCAGUGGCGAAGGCGGCCAACUGGACGAGUACUGACACUGAGGUACGAAAGCGUGGGUAGCAAACAGGAUUAGAUA